UACAGAGGGGGGCAAGCGUUAUUCGGAAUUAUUGGGCGUAAAGGGCGCGUAGGCGGCUUUGCAAGUGGCGGGUGAAAUCCCUCGGCUUAACCGAGGAACUGCCUGCCAGACUGUGAGGCUUGAGACCGGGAGAGGUGAGUGGAAUUCCUGGUGUAGCGGUGGAAUGCGCAGAUAUCAGGAGGAACACCGGUGGCGAAGGCGGGUCUCUGGGCCGAUACUGACGUGAGGAGCGAAAGCGUGGGGAGCGAACAGG
This 253-nucleotide ribosomal RNA is filed under the name uncultured bacterium. RNAcentral describes it as "partial 16S ribosomal RNA". It matches the Rfam family "Bacterial small subunit ribosomal RNA", at positions 524 to 776 of the family's 1533-position model. The record is from RNAcentral.